GCGCGUAGGCGGUCUUGUAAGUCAGAUGUGAAAGCCCGGGGCUCAACCCCGGAAGUGCAUUUGAGACUGCGAGACUUGAGUAUGGGAGGGGGAAGUGGAAUUCCUGGUGUAGAGGUGAAAUUCGUAGAUAUCAGGAGGAACACCAGUGGCGAAGGCGACUUCCUGGACCAAUACUGACGCUGAUGCGCGAAGGCGUGGGGAGCAAACA
This 208-nucleotide ribosomal RNA is filed under the name uncultured delta proteobacterium. Its description in RNAcentral is "partial 16S ribosomal RNA". It matches the Rfam family "Bacterial small subunit ribosomal RNA", at positions 567 to 774 of the family's 1533-position model. Lineage: Bacteria; Deltaproteobacteria. The record is from RNAcentral.